UACGGAGGGUGCGAGCGUUGUCCGGAAUCACUGGGCGUAAAGGGCGCGUAGGCGGCCUGAUAAGUAGGGGGUGAAAUCCUGCGGCUUAACCGCAGGGCUGCCUUCUAAACUGUCAGGCUAGAGCACAGUAGAGGCAGGUGGAAUUCCCGGUGUAGCGGUGGAAUGCGUAGAGAUCGGGAAGAACAUCAGUGGCGAAGGCGGCCUGCUGGGCUGUUGCUGACGCUGAGGCACGAAAGCGUGGGGAGCAAACAGG
This 253-nucleotide ribosomal RNA is filed under the name uncultured bacterium. RNAcentral describes it as "partial 16S ribosomal RNA". It matches the Rfam family "Bacterial small subunit ribosomal RNA", at positions 524 to 776 of the family's 1533-position model. The record is from RNAcentral.